RNAcentral lists this ribosomal RNA (513 nucleotides) under uncultured bacterium. RNAcentral's name for it is "partial 16S ribosomal RNA". It matches the Rfam family "Bacterial small subunit ribosomal RNA", at positions 28 to 507 of the family's 1533-position model. The record is from RNAcentral.
GACGAACGCUGGCGGCGUGCUUAACACAUGCAAGUCGAACGGGAGCGUAGAGAAAGCUUGCUUUUUCUACAAUCUAGUGGCAAACGGGUGAGUAACGCGUAAACAACCUGCCCUACGGAUGGGGACAACAGCUGGAAACGGCUGCUAAUACCGAAUACGUUCCGAAAGUCGCAUGACUAUCGGAAGAAAGGAUGGCCUCUAUUUAUAAGCUAUCGCCGGAGGAGGGGUUUGCGUCUGAUUAGCUAGUUGGAGGGGUAACGGCCCACCAAGGCGACGAUCAGUAGCCGGUCUGAGAGGAUGAACGGCCACAUUGGAACUGAGACACGGUCCAGACUCCUACGGGAGGCAGCAGUGGGGAAUCUUCCGCAAUGGGCGAAAGCCUGACGGAGCAACGCCGCGUGAGUGAAGACGGCCUUCGGGUUGUAAAGCUCUGUUAUACGGGACGAAUAAUCUUGUGGUUAAUACCCAUGAGAAGUGACGGUACCGUAAGAGAAAGCCACGGCUAACUACGUG